GCUUAGAGUUUGAUCCUGGCUCAGGAUGAACGCUGGCGGCGUGCUUAACACAUGCAAGUCGAACGGUCUCUUCGGAGAUAGUGGCGGACGGGUGAGUAACGCGUGAGAAUCUGCCUUUAGGUUCGGGACAACAGUUGGAAACGACUGUUAAUACCGAAUGUGUCGCAAGAUGAAAGAUUUAUUGCCUAAAGAUGAGCUCGCGUCUGAUUAGCUAGUUGGUGGGGUAAAAGCGUACCAAGGCGACGAUCAGUAGCUGGUCUGAGAGGAUGAUCAGCCACACUGGGACUGAGACACGGCCCAGACUCCUACGGGAGGCAGCAGUGGGGAAUUUUCCGCAAUGGGCGAAAGCCUGACGGAGCAACGCCGCGUGAGGGAAGAAGGCUUUUGGGUUGUAAACCUCUUUUCUCAAGGAAGAUAAUGACGGUACUUGAGGAAUCAGCAUCGGCUAACUCCGUGCCAGCAGCCGCGGUAAUACGGAGGAUGCAAGCGUUAUCCGGAAUAAUUGGGCGUAAAGCGUUCGUAGGUGGUUUUGCAAGUCUGCUGUUAAAGCGUGUAGCUUGACUACAUAAUGGCGGUGGAAACUGCAAAAACUAGAGUGCGUUCGGGGCAGAGG
RNAcentral lists this ribosomal RNA (613 nucleotides) under uncultured cyanobacterium. Its description in RNAcentral is "bacterial SSU rRNA". It matches the Rfam family "Bacterial small subunit ribosomal RNA", at positions 1 to 663 of the family's 1533-position model. Lineage: Bacteria; Bacillati; Cyanobacteriota. The record is from RNAcentral.